Molecule: ribosomal RNA, 353 nt
Filed under: Nanos clypeatus
Lineage: Eukaryota; Metazoa; Arthropoda; Insecta; Coleoptera; Scarabaeidae
Description: partial 16S ribosomal RNA
Source: RNAcentral
ACCUGCCCUAUGAUUAAAAAUUAAAUGGCUGCGGUAUUUUGACCGUGCAAAGGUAGCAUAAUAAUUAGUUUUUUAAUUGGGAACUGGUAUGAAAGGUCGAACGAGAAAGAGACUGUCUCAAUUUAAUUUAAAUUAGAAUUUUAUUUUUAAGUAAAAAAGCUUAAAUACAUUUAAAAGACGAGAAGACCCUAUAGAGUUUUAUAUUGAGAUAAUUAUAUAGGAAAUUAAAGGAUUAUUUUUUUUUAUAAUUAUUAAAAUAUUUGGUUGGGGCGAUUGAAAAAUUUAAUAAACUUUUUUUAAAUUAUAACAUUGAUUUAUGAAUAAGUGAUCCAUAUUUAAUGAUUAUAAGAUUA